Molecule: ribosomal RNA, 292 nt
Filed under: uncultured bacterium
Lineage: Bacteria
Description: partial 16S ribosomal RNA
Rfam family: Bacterial small subunit ribosomal RNA
Source: RNAcentral
GUGACAGCCGCCGCGGUAAUACAGAGGGUGCAAGCGUUGUUCGGAAUUACUGGGCGUAAAGCGCGUGUAGGCUGCGAUGUAAGUCAGGUGUGAAAGCCCUCAGCUUAACUGAGGAAGUGCACUUGAUACUGCGUCGCUUGAGUGUCGGAGGGGGUGGCGGAAUUCCCGGUGUAGAGGUGAAAUUCGUAGAUAUCGGGAGGAACACCUGUGGCGAAGGCGGCCACCUGGACGACAACUGACGCUGAGACGCGAAAGCGUGGGUAGCAAACAGGAUUAGAUACCCCGGUAGUCC